AGCUUGUCCGAAGGUAGAGAGUUAUCUCAUUUGAUUGUUCACAAUCAGUUAUAGAUUAAACUCCUCUUCUACUACUUUUGCCCUUCUUAGUACUGCACUUGACUAGUCAUUA
This 112-nucleotide Y RNA is filed under the name Microcebus murinus (gray mouse lemur). Its description in RNAcentral is "Y RNA (ENSMICG00000047769.1)". It matches the Rfam family "Y RNA". From Rfam's summary of the family: Y RNAs are components of the Ro ribonucleoprotein particle (Ro RNP), in association with Ro60 and La proteins. The Y RNAs and Ro60 and La proteins are well conserved, but the function of the Ro RNP is not known. Lineage: Eukaryota; Metazoa; Chordata; Mammalia; Primates; Cheirogaleidae. The record is from Rfam by way of RNAcentral.